Molecule: ribosomal RNA, 286 nt
Filed under: Chrysomya megacephala (oriental latrine fly)
Lineage: Eukaryota; Metazoa; Arthropoda; Insecta; Diptera; Calliphoridae
Description: partial large subunit ribosomal RNA
Source: RNAcentral
UGGUAUGAAAAGUUUGACGAGAUAUUAACUGUUUCAUAAAAAUUUAUAAUAGAAUUUUAUUUUUUAGUCAAAAAGCUAAAAUAUAUUUAAAAGACGAGAAGACCCUAUAAAUCUUUAUAUUUAGGUUAUUAUAAUUUUAUAGAUUUUUUUUGUUAUAAUAAUUGAUAAUAUUUUAUUGGGGUGAUAUUAAAAUUUAAUAAACUUUUAAUUGUUUAAAUCAUUAAUUUAUGAAUAAUUGAUCCGUUAUUAGCGAUUAAAAAAAUAAGUUACCUUAGGGAUAACAGCG